Molecule: long non-coding RNA, 461 nt
Organism: Oncorhynchus keta (chum salmon)
Lineage: Eukaryota; Metazoa; Chordata; Actinopteri; Salmoniformes; Salmonidae
Exons: 3
Source: RefSeq, a predicted model, not a curated record
GUUGAGUUCAGCAGGAUUCUUCAGUCCCCUGGAGGUGUUGAGUUCAGCAGUAUUCUUCAGUCCCCUAGAGGUGUUGAGUUCAGCAGUAUUCUUCAGUCCCCUGGUGGUGUUGAGUUCAGCAGUAUUCUUCAGUCCCCUAGAGGUGUUGAGUUCAGCAGUAUUCUUCAGUCCCCUGGUGGUGUUGAGUUCAGCAGUAUUCUUCACUCCCCUAGAGGUGUUGAGUUCAGCAGUAUUCUUCAGUCCCCUGGUGGUGUUGAGUUCAGCAGUAUUCUUCAGUCCCCUAGAGGUGUUGAGUUCAGCAGUAUUCUUCAGUCCCCUGGUGGUGUUGAGUUCAGCAGUAUUCUUCACUCCCCUAGAGGUGUUGAGUUCAGCAGUAUUCUUCAGUCCCCUGGAGGUGUUGAGUUCAGCAGGAUUUUUCAGUCCCCAAGAGAUGUUGAGUUCAGCAGUAUUCUUCAGUCCCC